CGAAGUUAAGACAAGAAGCAAAACAGAAUGAUGACUCAAAAUUCGUCUGAAGGUUGACAGGUCACAGUCGGACAGGCCAUAUGAAGUUCCCGAGAAGAAAGAAAAACCAUUUCCAGAUUAUUCCCAAAUGACCUUUCCUUGCCACCAAAAAUGGAAGAGAACGCUACAGCAAACAUACGGAAAUGUCUUAAUUGUUUACUCUUUAAUGAAUAUCGAUCCCAAUUCACAUCAAGUAUUUGCCUUCGACUGCUUGUAGACGAGAGCGUUGGAUUUUCUUUAGAUCAUAACUCAUCUUUAUCUCGACGUUCAAUAUUCACCAACGAAAGUAGCGCUCUACUACACGAGGAGCUAACAAUUGCCUAAUUGACUCGGAGAAAUCAGAACUUUGAACUCGGAUUCAGGAACUGGAUCUGAGCUUCCCCAGUUCCACCUAAUUAAGAAAGGAAACUAAAGGAAAUUAUACUGCAAUGAUCCGAUUGCUUCUAACCUUACCUCUCGGUCAGAUUUCAGCAAGUGAACAGUUACAUACCAUCCGUGUUUCUGUAUUGCCUUUAAGAGCAUAAACCCAGGAGCAAGAUGAGAAAGGAGACGACUCGAGUUUCAAAAGAAACCCAUACAAUCAUCUUGACCCUGGACGGAAAGUGGUUCGACGCGUUUCGUGAGAAUCGUGAAUUAAAGCCGAAAGGGUGUCAACAGAUAUCUGUGAAACAGAUGCAGAAUGGAUAUGGUACUAAUUUUAGCAAUGCGUGGGAGCUGUUAACCUGUAAUACGCCUCCGUUAUACUAUCAAGAGACAACUACAUACUCAAGUGCCAUAUUCCCUCGGCCCAAAAGGAUUAGAAUUACUCGGAAAACCUAAAUAAAGAUUUCUUUCUCAAAUAUAA
Daphnia pulex (common water flea) is the source of this 883-nucleotide long non-coding RNA. RefSeq lists it as uncharacterized. The transcript is spliced from 4 exons. The record is from RefSeq and is a predicted model, not a curated record. Lineage: Eukaryota; Metazoa; Arthropoda; Branchiopoda; Diplostraca; Daphniidae.